This 460-nucleotide ribosomal RNA is filed under the name uncultured bacterium. Its description in RNAcentral is "partial 16S ribosomal RNA". It matches the Rfam family "Bacterial small subunit ribosomal RNA", at positions 338 to 795 of the family's 1533-position model. The record is from RNAcentral.
CCUACGGGUGGCAGCAGUGAGGAAUAUUGGUCAAUGGCCGCAAGCCUGAACCAGCCAAGUAGCGUGAAGGAAGACUGCCCUAUGGGUUGUAAACUUCUUUUAUGCGGGGAUAAAGUUUGCCACGUGUGCCUUUUUGCAUGUACCUUAUGAAUAAGGACCGGCUAACUCCGUGCCAGCAGCCGCGGUAAUACGGAAGGUCCGGGCGUUAUCCGGAUUUAUUGGGUUUAAAGGGAGCGUAGACGGGUUGUUAAGUCUGCUGUGAAAUUUUGUGGCUCAACCGUGAAAUUGCGCCGGAUACUGGAAGCCUUGAGUGCAGGGGAGGCAGGCAGAAUUCGUGGUGUAGCGGUGAAAUGCUUAGAUAUCACGAAGAACCCCGAUUGCGAAGGCAGCCUGCCGAAGCGUGACUGACGCUGAAGCUCGAAAGCGCGGGGAUCAAACAGGAUUAGAUACCCUGGUAGUC